CCUACGGGAGGCAGCAGUGAGGAAUAUUGGUCAAUAGACGAGAGUCUGAACCAGCCAAGUAGCGUGAAGGAUGACUGCCCUAUGGGUUGUAAACUUCUUUUAUAUGGGAAUAAAAUGUUCCACGUGUGGGAUUUUGUAUGUACCAUAUGAAUAAGGAUCGGCUAACUCCGUGCCAGCAGCCGCGGUAAUACGGAGGAUGCGAGCGUUAUCCGGAUUUAUUGGGUUUAAAGGGUGCGUAGGCGGUCCGGAAAGUCAGCGGUAAAAGCCCGGGGCUCAACCCCGGCGAGCCGUUGAAACUGUCGGACUAGAGACGGCGAGAAGUACGCGGAAUGCGCGGUGUAGCGGUGAAAUGCAUAGAUAUCGCGCAGAACUCCGAUUGCGAAGGCAGCGUACCGUGCCGCCACUGACGCUGAGGCACGAAAGCGCGGGGAUCGAACAGGAUUAGAUACCCCAGUAGUC
This 459-nucleotide ribosomal RNA is filed under the name uncultured bacterium. Its description in RNAcentral is "partial 16S ribosomal RNA". It matches the Rfam family "Bacterial small subunit ribosomal RNA", at positions 338 to 795 of the family's 1533-position model. The record is from RNAcentral.